This 207-nucleotide ribosomal RNA is filed under the name uncultured prokaryote. RNAcentral's name for it is "partial 16S ribosomal RNA". It matches the Rfam family "Bacterial small subunit ribosomal RNA", at positions 524 to 730 of the family's 1533-position model. The record is from RNAcentral.
UACGAAGGACCCAAGCGUUAUCCGGAUUUAUUGGGUUUAAAGGGUGCGUAGGUGGACUUAUAAGUCAGUGGUGAAAGCCUGUUGCUUAACAACAGAACUGCCAUUGAUACUGUAGGUCUUGAGUACAGUUGAGGUGGGCGGAAUGUGUCAAGUAGCGGUGAAAUGCUUAGAUAUGACACAGAACACCAAUUGCGAAGGCAGCUCGCU